This 815-nucleotide ribosomal RNA is filed under the name Microbacterium barkeri. Its description in RNAcentral is "bacterial SSU rRNA". It matches the Rfam family "Bacterial small subunit ribosomal RNA", at positions 71 to 897 of the family's 1533-position model. Lineage: Bacteria; Bacillati; Actinomycetota; Actinomycetes; Micrococcales; Microbacteriaceae. The record is from RNAcentral.
AAGCCCAGCUUGCUGGGUGGAUUAGUGGCGAACGGGUGAGUAACACGUGAGCAACCUGCCCCUGACUCUGGGAUAACAGCCGGAAACGGUUGCUAAUACCGGAUAUGCAUCAUGGCCGCAUGGUCUGUGGUGGGAAAGAUUUUUCGGUUGGGGAUGGGCUCGCGGCCUAUCAGCUUGUUGGUGAGGUAGUGGCUCACCAAGGCGUCGACGGGUAGCCGGCCUGAGAGGGUGACCGGCCACACUGGGACUGAGACACGGCCCAGACUCCUACGGGAGGCAGCAGUGGGGAAUAUUGCACAAUGGGCGGAAGCCUGAUGCAGCAACGCCGCGUGAGGGAUGACGGCCUUCGGGUUGUAAACCUCUUUUAGCAGGGAAGAAGCGAAAGUGACGGUACCUGCAGAAAAAGCGCCGGCUAACUACGUGCCAGCAGCCGCGGUAAUACGUAGGGCGCAAGCGUUAUCCGGAAUUAUUGGGCGUAAAGAGCUCGUAGGCGGUUUGUCGCGUCUGCUGUGAAAACCCGAGGCUCAACCUCGGGCCUGCAGUGGGUACGGGCAGACUAGAGUGCGGUAGGGGAGAUUGGAAUUCCUGGUGUAGCGGUGGAAUGCGCAGAUAUCAGGAGGAACACCGAUGGCGAAGGCAGAUCUCUGGGCCGUUACUGACGCUGAGGAGCGAAAGGGUGGGGAGCAAACAGGCUUAGAUACCCUGGUAGUCCACCCCGUAAACGUUGGGAACUAGUUGUGGGGGCCUUUCCACGGUCUCCGUGACGCAGCUAACGCAUUAAGUUCCCCGCCUGGGGAGUACGGCCGCAAGGCUAA